CACUUGCACAACCACGCACGAGGGAGAGAAAGAAAAAUAGAACAGCAAGAGGAGAAGAGAAAGGCAGGUGUUCCACUUGGAGAGCAGUUGGUACUAUGACAGAUAUAAAUAUGUAGGAGCUUGUAUUCUUCUUCUGAAUUCUCCCAUGAACUUCAGUUCUCAGAGUGCCACGUCUCUCACUCGCCUGUCUUGUCUCUGUGGUCCUUCUGCUUACUUCUCCUCCUCCGUGUGUGUUCGGUCUGCAGUUGCCAUGUAACAAUAUGUGGUAACCAAGCAACUAUGCUGGCAAAGUAACCAGCGCAGUCCUGACAAAGGGGAGCACAGGACAGGCAUUUUUUAACCUUGGUGCAGCAUAAUUUAAUGAAAAUACAGCUACACCCUAUGGCAGAAUAUGAAGGAGUAUUUAUUGUGUAAUUAAAUUUUAGCGAGACUACCACUCUGUGAGUUAAAAAUGUACGGACGGGCUCCAAGAGUGACCUUCAUGACAGCAGGGGGUGCAUCGUCUGCUGUUGGUCCCGGAUCAUACAAUGUGAGCCAGUCCAGUUACAAGAUAUCAGAUGGCUAUGCACCAUUCCUUUCCUUGAGUGCCAGGCAAUCAAUAUUCUCCAAAGACAAUGAGAGUUUACUAGGACCUGGACACUAUGACUGCUCACCUGUCAAGUUAAAUGUUCAUGGUGGCAGCAGUCUUCAGAACCGCUCCAAGCGUUUUGAGGAUGUGGUGUCAGAGGUUCCAGGCCCUGGGGCCUACAAUGUGUCGCCUGCCUCAAAAAAGGCACACAGGGCUGUGACAGCUAAUGUAGGACACCCUGGAAGGCCUGGCAACAAAGUGGCUAAAGGUCUCCAGCUAGCUCUUCAGUCAGACAUUCCAUCCAUUCCCUCCCCGGGCCAGGCCUAUGGCUAUGAAGAGGAUGCCCGGGGUGUCCUCCGUAAGCAACAGCCCCCUUCUAAGGACACAACCCUGGGGCCAGCCUACUACAGUCCGCUGCUGGAGACAAGUUCUACACAGAAAUAUAAAGGAAUCCACUUUGGCAACAUGACAGGGAGGAGAUCUGAGGAGAAGGUGGAUGUGGGACCAGCUCCAGGACAAUAUGACCCCGAACUGGUCCCAGAAACACAGUACGAGAAUGUGAACCUUCAAAAGGAUCAGAGAGGCAGAGUGGAGCUUGCCAUCCCUCGCUACCAUGAACUUGUGCCCAUGCAGGCAGAAAAGAAGGGAGUUCCUGGUCCAGGCCAGUAUCACAUCAGAAGUCAGUUUGAGAAACCUGUUGAGCCUGGCGGCCUGCCGAAAUUCUCUUGUACCUUCCUCUCAAAAACUGAGGUACAGUCCAGACAGAGGUUUGGCCCUGUGAAAGAAGUGUCGCCCCCUGUUGGUACAUAUAAUGACCCGCGCUGUGCCCUGGAGCUGCUGAAGAGGACCUCAGGAAUAAAGAAAAGUCCAUUUGGUGUCACUGCAUCUCGCUUUUCUUCUAACCGCAGAAAAGGCACCACACCAGGUCCAGGUUCCUACAAUGUCUUUGAGCAUGGCUUAGCCCAGGAAAGUUUUAAAAAGGCGUUUUUUUCUCAAACCAAGACGGGAGGCUUUGGCUCUUCUUCUCAACGCAGCUCCCUUUUCUACAAAAAGGAAUCUGUCGAGACCCCGAGUCCAGCACAGUAUGAGAAGGAAAAGAAGACAGAGGAGAGCUACAAACAGCAGCACACAGCGGCUUUUAAAUCGGUCACAGAGCGUCUGGCUUCACCACUGCUGGCUAAAGAUUCCCCUGCACCCAGCAGAUACAAUGUGAAUCAGACAUUUGAGAAGGUUAAUGGCCACUCUUACUUAGAACCCCGAAGUGAAGACGCUAAGAAACGGCAAAGCUGCUUCCUGUCUGCUGCACCGAGAAAUGAUUUCUUCCUAGACAGUAACUCCAGUGUGCCAGGCCCCGGCCAGUACAACCCAAGUGUAAAAUCUGCUCCAAAGUUGGCACUGAUGUCCUCCAAAGAAGAUCGAUUCAAAGUUCCCAAGAACAUCAGCCCAGGACCUGACACUUAUUGGUUGAGUCCAAGUAUUAUGAACACACUACUGAAGGGCACCUUCAACGCGACGCUCAACAACCCUCUGAGUCCCAGCUGCUCCCCCCGUGUGGCUGAUGGGCCUUUAACAGCCCACAAGGCCAUUAAAGCAAGCACACCCAACACCUUUAUCACCACCAGCAGUUCAUAGAGUUCUUUGUGGGUCAGAGUUUAAAGAUGAAAGGUUAGUGGGGAGAAAAGGCAGCACUUUGGAAGAAGAUGACUUUGCAUUAUUGUCACAGAGUGAUACUGUAUACCUACUAAGAACAUUUCAUCUGAAGUUGGCUGUUGUGAAUUAUUUCCCCCUGUAUUUGUAUAUCAGUAAAAUUGAUAAAGGCAUUCAUAUGAACAAUGCUUGAAA
Molecule: non-coding RNA, 2410 nt
Organism: Neolamprologus brichardi
Lineage: Eukaryota; Metazoa; Chordata; Actinopteri; Cichliformes; Cichlidae
Source: RefSeq, a predicted model, not a curated record